UUGAAUAUUUAUCAAACUUCAACUUCAUUGAUCUAGCCACACUUUGCAAAAUAAGAUUAUUAGAGUCAUGAUUUUUUUUUUCAAUCACAAUUUGAAGCCGUACUAUUUCAGUGAAAACCAAAUACGAUGUACGCCUUUUUGUUGCACUAAGAUUCAAUGUUGUCCCAUAAACUUUUAAGAACUGUAUUUUUAACUUUUUUAAGUUUUGACCUAUUUAUUUUAUGUAGUAAUUUUAA
This 236-nucleotide long non-coding RNA is filed under the name Erythranthe guttata (spotted monkey flower). RNAcentral describes it as "long non-coding RNA (EGUT_LNC003554)". Lineage: Eukaryota; Viridiplantae; Streptophyta; Magnoliopsida; Lamiales; Phrymaceae. The record is from RNAcentral.